GAUGAACGCUGGCGGCGUGCCUAAUACAUGCAAGUCGAGCGAACAGACGCGGAGCUUGCUCCUCUGACGUUAGCGGAGGACGGGUGAGUCACACGUGGAAACCCUACCUAUAAGACUGGGAUAACUUCGGGAAACGGGCGCUAAUACCGGAUAAUAUAUUGAACCGCAUGGGUCAGUAGUGAAGGACGGUUUUGGUGUCAGUUGUAGAUGGAUCCGCGCCGCAUUAGCUAGUUGGUAAGGUAACGGCUUACCAAGGCGACGAGGCGUAGCCGACCGGAGAGGCUGAGCGGCCACACUGGCACUUAGGCACGGUCCAGCCUCCCACGGGCGUCCGCAGUGCGGAAUCUGCCACUAUGGGCGAAAGCCUGACGGAGCAACGCCGCGUGAGUGCUGAAGGUCUUCGGAUCUUAGAACUCUGUUAUUAGGGAACUCCAAAUGUGUACGUAACUAUGCACGUCUUGACGGUAGCGAGUCAGAAAGCCACGGCUAACUACGUG
RNAcentral lists this ribosomal RNA (497 nucleotides) under uncultured bacterium. Its description in RNAcentral is "partial 16S ribosomal RNA". It matches the Rfam family "Bacterial small subunit ribosomal RNA", at positions 28 to 507 of the family's 1533-position model. The record is from RNAcentral.